UAUUACACGAACAAAAAAAUGAAAAUUAAUAUCUACACUAACUUUAGCAUUUUCAUAUUUUUGUAUUUCAAAUUGGACUUGUAUUUCUCACAUCGGUUAAGAAGAAAAUAGGAAUUUGACUGCCCAAUAUACUUAGAUAUGUUACCUGAAGAAUAAUAAGGAAUUGAUCCCAGUAUAAUCAUGAGUUUUAUACAAAUUUUAGGUCGGAUAUUGUAGCAGAUUAUACAGAGGAUAGCAGUGAUAGUUCUGGUGUUGAUGAAAAUUAUGAUCCAAGAGGAGAAUUAUUUGAUGAUGAAUCGAGUUCAAAUUAUGGUAAGGUUUA
This is a non-coding RNA of Paramuricea clavata, 322 nucleotides long. Lineage: Eukaryota; Metazoa; Cnidaria; Anthozoa; Malacalcyonacea; Plexauridae. The record is from the annotation of a GenBank genome assembly.